RNAcentral lists this ribosomal RNA (253 nucleotides) under uncultured bacterium. RNAcentral's name for it is "partial 16S ribosomal RNA". It matches the Rfam family "Bacterial small subunit ribosomal RNA", at positions 524 to 776 of the family's 1533-position model. The record is from RNAcentral.
UACGUAGGGCGCAAGCGUUGUCCGGAAUUAUUGGGCGUAAAGAGCUCGUAGGUGGUUUGUCGAGUCUGUCGUGAAAGCCCGGGGCUUAACCCCGGGUCUGCAUUCGAUACGGGCAGACUAGAGUGUGGUAGGGGAGAUCGGAAUUCCUGGUGUAGCGGUGAAAUGCGCAGAUAUCAGGAGGAACACCGGUGGCGAAGGCGGAUCUCUGGGCCAUUACUGACGCUGAGGAGCGAAAGCGUGGGGAGCGAACAGG